GAUGAAGAACGUAGCGAAAUGCGAUAAGUAAUGUGAAUUGCAGAAUUCAGUGAAUCAUCGAAUCUUUGAACGCACAUUGCGCCCGCCAGCAUUCUGGCGGGCAUGCCUGUUCGAGCGUCAUUUCAACCCUCGACUUCCCUUUGGGGAAAUCGGCGUUGGGGACCGGCUGUAUACCGCCGGCCCCGAAAUGAAGUGGCGGCCCGUCCGCGGCGACCUCUGCGUAGUAAUCCAACUCGCACCGGAACCCCGACGUGGCCACGCCGUAAAACCCCCGACUUCUGAACGUUGACCUCGGAUCAGGUAGGAAUACCCGCUGAACUUACGCAUAUCAAUAAGCGGAGUA
RNAcentral lists this unclassified non-coding RNA (343 nucleotides) under soil metagenome. RNAcentral's name for it is "partial contains 5.8S ribosomal RNA, internal transcribed spacer 2, and large subunit ribosomal RNA". The stretch from base 1 to 120 matches the Rfam family "5.8S ribosomal RNA", at positions 35 to 154 of the family's 154-position model. The record is from RNAcentral.